RNAcentral lists this ribosomal RNA (460 nucleotides) under uncultured bacterium. RNAcentral's name for it is "partial 16S ribosomal RNA". It matches the Rfam family "Bacterial small subunit ribosomal RNA", at positions 338 to 795 of the family's 1533-position model. The record is from RNAcentral.
CCUACGGGGGGCAGCAGUGAGGAAUAUUGGUCAAUGGGCGCGAGCCUGAACCAGCAACGUAGCGUGAAGGAUGACUGCCCUACGGGUUGUAAACUUCUUUUAUAAAGGAAUAAAGUGAGGCACGUGUGCCUUUUUGUGUGUACUUUAUGAAUGAGGAUCGGCUAACUCCGUGCCAGCAGCCGCGGUAAUACGGAGGAUCCGAGCGUUAUCCGGAUUUAUUGGGUUGAAAGGGAGCGUAGAUGGGUUGUUAAGUCAGUUGUGAAAGUUUGAGGCUCAACCGUAAUAUUGCAAUUGAUACUGGCAGCCUUGAGUACAGUUGAGGUAGGCGGAAUUCGUGGUGUAGCGGUGAAAUGCUGAGAUAUCACGAAGAACCCCGAGUGCGAAGGCAGCUUACUAAACUGCCACUGACAUUGAUGCUCGAAAGUGUGGGUAUCAAACAGGAUUAGAUACCCGGGUAGUC